This 280-nucleotide non-coding RNA is filed under the name Eubacterium sp. RNAcentral describes it as "T-box sequence". It matches the Rfam family "T-box leader". Rfam says of the family: Uncharged tRNA acts as the effector for transcription antitermination of genes in the T-box leader family. Lineage: Bacteria; Bacillati; Bacillota; Clostridia; Eubacteriales; Eubacteriaceae. The record is from RNAcentral.
AUAAAUGCGAGGAAAAAGAGGAGUAGACAGGCUUCUGCCGCAAGAGAGAACCAUUCACGGGCUGGAAGGUGGUUUCGGAUCAGAACUGUUGAAGGUAGCUUUGGAGCAGCACAGCUGAACACAGACGGCACAAGCGGCAUGGUUUGGAAAGUAGGUAGUGACGUAUCCUGCGUUAAAGGAGAAUGAGGAUUAUGCGUUUCUUCUAUAUAAUAGUAGGUGUUAUAUCAGAAACAGCCGCAUGAUUGAACAAAGGUGGUACCGCGUUAUAUACGCCCUUUGC